This 253-nucleotide ribosomal RNA is filed under the name uncultured bacterium. RNAcentral's name for it is "partial 16S ribosomal RNA". It matches the Rfam family "Bacterial small subunit ribosomal RNA", at positions 524 to 776 of the family's 1533-position model. The record is from RNAcentral.
UACGUAGGGGGCAAGCGUUGUCCGGAAUUAUUGGGCGUAAAGAGCGCGUAGGCGGUCCGAUAAGUCGGCUGUGAAAGUCCAGGGCUCAACCCUGGAAAGCCGGCCGAUACUGUCGGACUAGAGUCCGGAAGAGGCGAGUGGAAUUCCCGGUGUAGCGGUGAAAUGCGCAGAUAUCGGGAGGAACACCAAUGGCGAAGGCAGCUCGCUGGGACGGUACUGACGCUGAGGCGCGAAAGCUAGGGGAGCAAACGGG